GUCUCGGCCAACAACCCCGACGUCGCAUGGCUGCGUGAGUCGGAGCUCAAGCAUGGCCGCAUGGCCAUGCUCGCCAUUACCGGCGUGAUGGUUCAGUCGACGGGCUUCCAUCUCCCGGGCAACGCGGAGGUCU
Molecule: non-coding RNA, 133 nt
Filed under: Strombidinopsis acuminata
Lineage: Eukaryota; Ciliophora; Spirotrichea; Choreotrichida; Strombidinopsidae
Source: RNAcentral